Molecule: long non-coding RNA, 1943 nt
Organism: Astatotilapia calliptera (eastern happy)
Lineage: Eukaryota; Metazoa; Chordata; Actinopteri; Cichliformes; Cichlidae
Source: Ensembl
UGUAGAAAUAGGCCAGGCGAGUGUGUAGAAGGCCAGGCGAGUGGGAACAAGACUGAAUUUGGUAUUUUUAUCUUCUAAAUCAGUCAGCUGUAUGAGACUGGAUAUUUCUUUUAGGAUUUUCUUUAUGCUUCAGGAGGAUCCCAAUAAGCAGCAAGUGGGUAGAAGGGAAUUUAGGUUUACUGUUUAAUAUACAAUUAUAUUAAUGUAAUUAAUAUUCAUAUUUUUGUGUUUAGAGAUGCUUUUUUUUUCUUAAGUGUAACCUGUAGGUAUCAACUUUUUUUUUGCAUAUCCCAAAAUAGGUUCAUCUGAAACAAUUUUAUUAUUAUGCUUCACAAAGGCUGCUGUAAACACAGUGGAUAACAUUUGGUAAUUUGGUUUGGCUCCUGAUGGAAAUACUGCUGUUAAAAUAAAUCAGAAAAUUGUAAAUGCAAAUGGAACUUUGCUAAUUUUAAAAGCUGUUAAACGGUGGAACACUGAUUAAAAACUUGAUCAGUGGAGUUAUGACCAUAAGAAUGAGUUUUCCAUUAGAUCAGGGGUCCCCAACUCCAGGCCUCGAGGGCCGGUGUCCUGCAGGUUUUAGAUCUACACACCUGAAUCAAAUGAUUAGCUCAUUACCAAGCCUCUGGAGAACUUCAAGAUAUGUUGAGGAAGUAAUUUAGCCAUUUGAAUCAGCUGUGUUGGAUCAAGGACCCAUCUAAAACCUGCAGGACACCGGCCCUCGAGGCCUGGAGUUGGGGACCCCUGCAUUAGAUGGAUGGGGCCAUGCCUUCAUUAGUCAAAAAUUUCUUCUAGCAUGGGACUGUUUGUCCUACAAUAGGCAUCUACAAAAGUUCUUUUUCUGUGGCAGUAGUAGAUAAAAGUGUCAAUGUAAUUUAUUGGAAAAUGGAUUAAAUAAAAAUAAAAACAAAAAACGCACAGAAUACAGUGGAAUGAGAUGUGUAUGUCUUACACAAAUUCACCUUUGCCUGUUCCCCUUCCCUCAGGAUGUGUGUCUUGCUCAUAUAAUAUUAAUAUUAUAUGAGCAUUUCGUUGCCUUGUAAAUAUUAAGAUUGCAUAUAAUUUUAGUAAUAGUUGUAAGUAAAUAUUGCAUAUAUGUGUAACCCUGCCAAUGGAGGGUGCCAUCUAGAUUACAUCUGUCAUAUUGUUGUUAACACACAUGCGUUUCACAUAUUCUAUCAUCCUUAUAAAUCAAAGGGGCCAAUUUAAUUUUCAUAUAUCUGUCUGGUAUUCUAGUUCUAAUGUUUAGAGCCAUUGGUGAUAAGAUAAAAUGGAUAAAUGGGCCCUUGUUUACCUAUUCCUUAGGGGGGUGUGUGUGUGUGUGUGUGUGUGUGUGUGUGUGUGUGUGUCUCAACAUUUGACAUGUGGGGUGUGUCAUAAUAAAAUGAUGUAUGCUAUCUUAUAUUACUGGUAAGAACAGGCACAUGGUAGUAGUGGUUGUAAAACUAAGCUGAUUGUUUAAAAAAAAAAAAAAAAAAAGUGUCCAGAUGAAAAUAUUCUGUGUAAUGGUAACAAAAAUCUUUUUACAUAUUGUGUGAGGUUUUUACAUGUUAAAUGGUUUUUAAAUAUGGUCGGCACAGUGAACAAAUUCCUUUUUAAGUGCAGCUCGGGUUUUUGCUAAUUAAUUGACACUAGGGCUGCACGAUUUUGCAUAAAAUGAGAAUCACGAUUAUUUUUUUUUUUUUUUUUUUUUUUUUUUUUGGCUUAGAAUUGAGAUCAGGAUUCUCUCACGAUUUUCUUUUCCAGUAUAAAUAUUUAUUGCACUUAUUAACUGCACAUCAACUUCGUAACAGUUGAAACUGAACAUAAAAACAAUAAAUAAACAUAAAAACAACAAAUGUCUCACGUUUUGUUGUUGCCGCAAAAUGUUGUACUGCUUGAAAUUCCGUCUCCACCGUUGCUCGACACUGCGUGUAUAGAACAGGUAGUGCAACAAUAGAAAAAUA